This 34279-nucleotide long non-coding RNA is filed under the name Malus domestica (apple). RNAcentral's name for it is "long non-coding RNA (MDOM_LNC007288)". Lineage: Eukaryota; Viridiplantae; Streptophyta; Magnoliopsida; Rosales; Rosaceae. The record is from RNAcentral.
CCAAAAGCAGGCGUAGAAGCCGAUGGUUCCGGUGACAACAAAGAAUGCAUACGAUGCAAUGAGCAUGUAUCCGAAGUAUAAGAGGGCCGAGACCAGCUUUGUGAUUUCAAGCUUUGUGAAGAAGUAGAAUGUGGCGUAGAGGAAGAGGUACAGAGCCGAUGAGCCAGAUGUGAGGUAUGAUCUCCACCACCACAAGUAAUCCUCGCUGCACAACUGGAAGUAGCAGAGGACGAUGGUGAUCUCAGCGCAUGUGAUGAUGAGGAUGAUGAAGACCAAGAAGAGGAAACCAAAGAUGUAGUAGAACUGGUUCAGCCAAAUUGAAGUGAGGAUGAAGAAUAGUUCGAUGAAAACUGCUCCGAAUGGGAGGAUCCCUCCAAUCAGAAUUGAGAAAACUGGGUUCAUGUACCAGGCCUGUUCUGGGAUCUGUCUUGGGAUUUUGUUUGUCUUCACUGGGUCCUCAAGUGCUGGCUUCCUGAACCCAACAUAGCCUCCCACAAAUACGAGUGGGACUGAGAUUCCGAACCAUAAAAAGACCAGGGCAAACAUUGUGCCAAAUGGCACAGCUCCAGAUGAUUUCUGGCCCCAAAUCAGAGUGUUCAAGACAAUGAAAAUGGCAGAGACAGUUGCUGGGAACAUGACAGCAGUUCUGAAUGCAAUUUUCUUCCAUUCUGUACCUUUAAACAUCUUGUACAAGCGAACAGAGGCGUAACCAGCAAAAAUUCCCAUGAAGACAAAAAGCAAGAGCAUUGCAGUCAUAAGACCGCCCCGGUUAGAUGGGGAGAGGAAGCCAAGGACAGCAAAAAUCAUUGUCACCAGUAUCAUUCCAAAGAACUGAACACCAGUUCCAACAUAUACGCAGAGCAAUUCAGAGUUAUUUGGAGCCCGGAAAACAUCCCCGUGGACAAGUUUCCAUCCUGUCUCUUCUUGCGCUUCUUCCUGGGUCUCAAGUUCAUUAUACUUGGAGAUAUCACGGUAGAGUGUUCUUAGCAUAAUCAUCGCUACCAUACCCGAAAGGAAGAGGACAAUCAUCAAUGAGUUGACAAUUGAAAACCAAUGGAUUUGGUCGUCACUCAUCAGUAGAUAAGCAUCCCAUCUAGAAGCCCACUUCACAUCACUCUCCUAAACAAGUAGACAUGAAAAGAAGUAUCCUAUGAGACGACUAGUUCCUCACAAAUCACAAAGUAUUUAUGACAAAUAAAUGAUGCUAUAAUAAGCAAACAGUAGACAGUAAAUUAUGAGUUAUAAUUCUCCUAUGAGAAAAUACCAAGUAAAAUUUUAAAUUAAUGAGCUCACCUGGAAUUCAACAUCAUAGGUAAAUACGAUUUCUUGCUUUUCGGCAACCUCUUGAGGAGAGUUAGAAUUAACAACAGUGUGUUUCGAAUGGGGGUCACAGGUAGUUAAACGAGUCUUUGCAUCAUUCCAUUUCCCUUCAUAUUCAUGUUUAACACUGGACAUUCAACACACAAACAAACCAUAUUACCAACUGAUAAUUUAGAAAGAAGAUUCAGCAAGGAGGAAUCAUUCAAGAGAAAAGCAACCCCCUGGAAAAACCGACCUGAAUGGUUUAACCUCAAAUCCCACGAUUCUUGCUGUUUCAGUUUGCGAAUCUCUAUGGUACUUCACAGUAAAUGCCAGAUGGUUGUGGAUGAAGUAUUUCUCUUCUUUGCUCUGAGCACAACAACAUAGCAUAAGAAAGAGAAAAACAUAAUCAUCCCCGAAUAAGAAAGUUAUUUGGUGCCAACAAAUAAUGGACAUACCCCAGCAUAAUGGCCUUUGAGCCCAACGUGGAAUCCAAGCUGAUAAACUGUAGGAGCGUCUUGGUCUGGCCUUUGAAUGGGAAAAACUAGAGGUAGAUUAUCAAGGAUCCUGUCAUAGAAAAAGAAAGUCUUAAUAAGAUAUGUGACUUCGUUUCAGUUCCUCUAAUAUAAAAGAAUACAUCAUUUAAAGUGUCAGAAAAAUACAUGUUCACUCGAUACUCAUCAUCUAUCUUCUCCUUAAACUGCUUUACAAUUUUGGCAUCAGGCGUUAACCGGCAGACAAUGUUGCACAUCUGAGGCUCCCGCAUUUUAAACUGCACAAAUCCUGUUGUAAGUUUAUGAACAUAGGAGAAACAAAUAGCCAUAGCGUUGUACAGGUGAAAUAACACAAACCACAUAGGGGGAGUUCUCGAUCCGGUCACCGCGGAGCACUUCCCCAAGAUUCUCUGUACUGUCCAAGAUUUUAUCAGGUUUGCAGUAACGGAGAGAGUAAUAUGAGUAUGGAAGCUGAGUCUUUGUAGAAGUCAAUUUGUUCACUUUAACUUUCAAAUCAUCUCCCUGCAUUCAAAGAUCCAAGAGAACGAAAUUAAUACAAAACAUCCACCGAGGAAAAGCACUUUGCUUCUCAGUCAAGUGAAGUAAAACAAUGACGAAAUUUCAAAUCUAAUUUACGAGAAAUAAUUCAAAUUCCACAAUCAACAUUUGUAAUGCAGUGAAACCUAAAUGACGAUCUUCUUAGAGUACUUGCUUAGGGCAUAUACAGAUCGAUAUCGGACCAACCAAGAUCUGAUGUGCCGCGAAUUACUCUCACAAUUACAUUGCUCUACGCAUCAAAGUAUUAAUAAAACACAUCCUAAGAAAAUCGAAGAAAUAUACAGAGCAAAAGAACACAUAUCAAAACCUACAAAUCUCAAGAUUUGAACUAUGCCAGAGGUCAACUAAACCUAAAUCGACAAUCAUUUCAAUAGCAGAGUAGCGACCAAUCGAAUUCACGAUAACCUAACCUCCAAAAAAAUUCACGAUAACUUUAUCUCCAAUCCUUCUAUUUUCCUCCAUUUUCUCGGCAACCAAACGGACGAAACCUAACACUAGGUCACAGAUCCGAACAGCGAACACGCAGAUCACUCAUUUCAUACAAAAACACAUACAAUUUCAACAAAAAAUCGAAAUUAAAUGAAAUUACAGAUUAGAUUUGUCGGCGAUUGGGAGCUGACCUUGAUGAAGUCCUCCGGAGCGACGCCGGGGAGGUAGAAGGAGUGGGCGCCAUGGACGAGAAGUAAGAGGAUCACAGAGAUCGCCAGGACUGCCGGAGAUCUACGAGAUGCCAUGGCCUCCGAUUGAGAGAGAAGAGGAAGGGUGUGCAGAUCUGGAGGAGGAGGAGGAGGAGGAGGAGGCGAAGGAGGAGGAGGAGUUAGUUUAUUGGUUGGUGGUGUAAUGGCGUUUAAUAGUUGGAUUCGUAUUUGUCUGUCGCGUAGAAAUAAAAUAAAAUUUUAACUAAAAAAUUAAAAAAUUAGAGUUGAAGAAAAAAAAAAUAUUAAAAAGGGAACAGAGGAGGCGACUGGAAGCUUACAAGGCGGGUGGACUCCGCGCUUUCUCUCCGGUGAGAUCUGGUGUACGUGUGGGUCCCUUUUUUAUAAAGAUAUGAUACAAAUAACGAUACAAAUAUUUGGUAUGAUUUCUUCUUUAUUUUUUAUUUUUAUUUUUUUUGCGGCACGUUAUCCAUUUUCUGAAUUAUAAAGGAAAUAUACUAUGAUAUAAAGCCACUAUGGUAUAACAUGCUAAUUUUAUUAAUCGUUACGUAAAUAUCAAGUUUGAGAUCGAUUACUGUUGGAUUGUCUUGGGGAAUAUGACUUUGCUCACGCACAACGUUUUGUGUUUAAAAUUUUUUUCUAACUCUAAUUUGGUUGGUUAUUUUAUUAAGACGGUGAAUAUGACUAUAUGAUCUCUGAGUUGAUUAAUGUCUUUUCAAACGAUAUAUUACUACUUUAAGUCCGUUAACAUGACGAUCUCAGACUUGAUUGAUUUUAUUUUUCAUAAACAAUAUUUAUAUGAUAGUUGAGAAAUUGAAAUCUUCUGAUUAAGACGUAUAUAGAUGGUAAAAAAUGGAUAAUCAUAAAUGGGUAAAUAAUUAAUUUUCACUAUUUGAUUAGAUCCGUUUCCUUUAAAUGAAUUUUCUAAUUUGCUAGGAAUUCCUUUUUUGUAGCUUUCUUUUUCUUUUAUGUUAACGCAACGACUUGUCGUUUGUGCUUUUUUGUCAACUAUAUAUGAAUGUUACGUGAACCCAAUGUGUAUGCCACUUUAGUGCAUACCUGAAAUUUUGGUUUGAAUCUGGAAAUAGGAAAUAUGAGUAGGACACUGAUAUAUCCAAUUUAAUACACUACUGAUUUUUUUUAUUCUUUUUGCAAUUUUUAUUUAUUUAUUCCCUUGAUUUUUUAUUCAUCAAUCCAAUUUAAUGACAAAAAAUAAAUAUAUAUUAUAUAUUUCCGGGUUAGGUGUGUUUUGCAAUUGGACACGUACGCUGAAAUGUUAAGAAACAUGUUCUUAUCACAUACCUGACUUGAGAAGGCUCGGGUAAAACCCUUAAGUUUUUGGGUAAAUUAUAUAAAAUUACCUCAAUUAUGAGUCGAACCACAAUCUCAUACCUCAUAUUUUAAAAAUUACAAUGUCAUACCUCAUCUUACGAAUUUGUUACAAUGUCAUACCUUCGUCAAUUUUUCUAUCAAAUUUUCUGUUAAAUGUUGAUGUGGCCUGAGAUGAGAUCCACCCCCUAACCCAACCGGAUUAAAAAAUUAAUUAAAUAUUAAAAAAAUUAAAAAUACAAUUAUUUAACGUUAAUUAUAUUAACACCUUACAAAUUGUUGAAUAAACCCCACAAACUUAAUACACCCCACAUUUGCUUUUUCACUUAAAAAUUAUCUUAAUACACCCCACUUACUUUCCCAUAAUACCCCCACACCCCACAUUCUCAAUAUACAUCUUAUAUUUUGUACAUACACCCCACAUUUCUCAAAUCUUAUAACACUCAUUUUUAAUUUUCAGGGAUUGAAUCUAACCAUAUGUACAUUAAAAGAUGAAUAUGAAUAUAGAAGUUUAAAUAAUACAGCAAAACGCAAGAUUAAAUAAUUAUCAAUGUCAUCGAAAUCACUAAAACAAUGAAAACUAUGAAGUCUUACCUCAUGCGAAGCUCCUGAAACAUCGAUUUCGUGUUCCAUUCGUCAAAAACAAUUUUUCUUAAUCAACAUGUUUGAUAGUUGAGAAGAUAAAUAAUACGCUAAAAGUGAUUUGGGGUGUAUUUAUAAAUCUUUGUUUUUUUUUAAACCUAAUAAGGUCAAAAUUGUCAUUACAUAGUAGAGUAAAUAAGUCAUUUAAUAUUAAAUUUUAAUGUGGGGUGCAUUCAACAUUUUAUGGGGUGUUAAUAUAAAAACCCUUAUUUAAAUAUUUUUAUUUAAAAAUGUGGGACCCGCCCCUACAAACCCAACAUCCUCACCUUCUUCCCUAGCUCACAUGUCUCCCCCCCCCCCCACCCCAACCUUCCUCCUUUCACCCCAAAACCAAAACCCAUCUCUACCUCCCUCCCAAUGACGCUCCUCUUCUCCAGCAACCUUAGAAUCAGGUGUGGGUCCACUGCGACGCCCUUUGGGCUCUCGACAUGGGCCUUUUUAUAAGCAUCCCAUUUCCCCUCAGCUCACCCGUCUCCCCCCAACCUUCCUCCCUUCACCCCAAAAACAGAACCCAUCUCCGCCUCCCUCCCAAUGACGUUCCUCUUCUCCAGCAACCUUAUAACCAGGUGUUGCUCCACCGUGACACCCUCUGGGCUCUUGAAAUGGGCCUUUUUACAGGCAUCUCAAUUCCCAAAGUUCUCUACUUUCAAAAGGAUGGCUUUGAAAUUGGUUUUUGAUUUUGAAAAAAGAAUUUGGUUUAUGAUUAAAUGGGGUUUACAAUUGAUUGUUAUAAAAUGCAUUUCAAUUUGGGGAAUUUCAAGUGUGGAUUUUUGCCCAUAUUUUCUUGAACUGAAUUAGUUUUUCGAGUUCGAGAUCCCAACCCAAAUUAUGCCUCUUCUUGCAGUCGUCAGAUUUUCUAUUCUUCCUCUGCCCGCCCUCGCCUUCCACAAGCCUAGAGAAGGUCCUUCAAAUACCCCGCAAACGGUUUCAGAUUGCAGGUGAGGGUUUUUGGGGUGGUGCUCAAGAAAGUCCUUGACGGAAUUGACAUCGGCAACAAAUUGGUAUGCGGUUGCUUGCUUGAGAAGAAUGAGGUGCCCUUUUUUUAUUUUAAAUUGGGCUAGUUAAUGAUGACUCGGGGGAGGAGAUGGGGGAGGAAAGGGCAGCAGUGAGGGAGUGGGUUCUGGUUUUGAUGGUGAAGGUAGGAAGGUUGGGGAGGGGAGACGAGUGGGCUGGGGAAGAAGGUGUGGGAGAUGGGUUUGCAAGGGAAAUAUUUAAAUUAUUUUAUUUUUUUAGUUUUUUUAAUAUUUAAUUAAUUUUUUAAUCCAGUUGGGUUAGGAAGUGGGUCCCGCCUCAAGUUACGUCAGCAUUUAACAGAGAAAUUGAUAGAAAAACUGACGGAGUUAUGACAUUGCAACAAAUUCGAAAGAUGAGAUAUGCCAUUACAAUUUUUAAAACAUGAGGUAUGAAAUUGUGAUUCAACCCAUAAUUAAGAUAGUUUUGUAAUUUACCCUAAGGUUUUUUUUAUGCAAAAUCAUAUCAUGUUAUGGUCCUCCUUUUAUGGCUUGACUUAGAUUGGACUAUUUUAGAUUUAGUCUAGCAUCAAUGCCGAUGUUUAGUGAAUUUGUAUACGCUAAGACAAGAUUUUCCAAAUUGGGCAACGGUCCAAUAUAUUAUUAUGUCUUACCUGUCUCAAUUAUAGUUGCGUGACUCAAUAUGAUUGGAAUUAAACACAACUCCAAUCAUAUCAAGAGCUUGUUUCGAAGUGUUUUUCAAAUAGUUAAAAUACCUCUGGUGAAAAUAUUUUUGAAACCAAACUUUAACAAAAAUGCAAGUGAAUCUUGAAAAAACAGCUAAAAUACUUUUGAAAUUCAAAAACAUCUCUAAAAUCGUAUUUAGUCAUUUUCAAAAGUAUUUCCAAAAAAUUGCGAGUUUUCUUUGCCAAUAUAACAACUGAUUUUGCCAUGAUAUGAAAAAGAAGUAGAGAGAGAAAAGAACACCAACGGCUAAAAGCCUAAAACACCAUGUUUUGGGUCGGUGUGGUGUCGAAAGUUUGGUUUUGCUGCCAACCUAGGAACUUGGGUUGGGCCCUUAGUUUGUGCCCAAGUUUUAUAGGCCUUAUUAUUGAGUUUACUUGCAAACAUGACCGAUGUAGCUCUCCGUCCAACUCAUUUCAAAGUGGUUCGACGUGAGGUGGCAUGUUGAAUAAAGUAAAUUUUUUUACAUCGGCAAUCUUACAAAAACAAACCACAACUUAUAUUAAAUGGUUUCACUUUUAAUUAUAUCGAGGUCUUUUGCAUAGAAACCCUAAACUUAUUGAUUGCACAGAUGCUUAAUUAGGGACACUAUCGAAGGAUCUUGCUCUUUGCAUGGAGAAUGCAUCCACUUGAACAAAAGGAGGGGACGGAUAAGCAUCGUUUACUUGUUCAAUAUCCUUUCGGAGUAAUGACUUGAAGUGGACAUGCAUCAUCUUCAUCUACUUGUACCAAAACAAGCGAAAAACCCACAGAAAAUCACUCUCACUACUUGAUGGACGGACAAAGAGAGUGAGAGAGAGCCAACUCGGUUUCCUUCCUUUUUUAAGAUUUGCACAACCUCAUAAAUAUAUGUAUAUUAUGAAGUUGAAUUUUCUGGUUGUUGCUUCUUGAUAACCCUACAUUGCCACUUGCACUAUGUGGGGGUCAAUCGAUCUUCAGUUUAAGUGAGUAUGAAAUGAGUUGUAAAUAGCAUAUAUGUGAGUAUGAAAUGAGUUGUAAACUCAAUCGAUGUUUAAGUUUGAAUUCUCGUAAGUAGGGGUGGACAGAAAAACUGCUCAACCAAACCAAGCACCAAACCAAACCGAAAAUAUUAAUUAAUGUUAAAAAAUUCAUAAUUUUAUGAACAUUUAAUUUGUUGAAAGCAGUCCAGUUGAACCUUCCUGACCUAGGUUUAAAUGACAUGAUUAUGACUCAUAAGCAUAAUACUAUUUCAGUUUACCAAAGAAAUUCCACACAAGACGCAUUAACACAACUCAAAACCCACAUGAAUAUACAAUGUGAUGAGACAUGAUUAACACAACUUUUCUCCUUUUUCAAUAAGUAGUAUGAAUUAUUCUACUAUUCUAUUAUGAUUUUCAUAUCAGCCUGCAUAUUGAUCAACACAUACUUAACACAAGCACACAACACAAUAUAAAUAAGUAACACGAACACAACUCGAUGGUCACCCCCACAUAUGAUUUCGGAUUUCGGUUACUUAGGGUUUAGGACACAAGCCAAAUUUCAUUUUCACGCUACAGUGUGUGUACGUGAAAGAGGGAGGGAAGGGAAGCAGAGGUUGAUAUGUGGGUAAAUGUCCAGCUUUAAGAGCAAUAAAACCUGGACAGAAUCUUCUAAUGUGUAACCCAAACACCAUCAAACAAACCCAAAACGUGCAACUUAUAUUCUUCAAAACACACCAAAGGCAUAUAUGGUCCCCCACAUUGCCUUAUUUGCCAAGCAAAAAAGCACAUCAAAGAUCAAACCCCUCCUCGUCUCUAUGAAGUUGCAUUGGCUUGGGACCCUCAUAUUUUCUUUCUUCCUUUCUAUCAUAUAUAUAUCAUUACUUUAUGAUGGGUAGGUUCAUGACAUGUUUUACUUAAUCAAUGCUCUUGAUUAUCUACUUAAUGAAUGAUUUUUUGGUGUGACAAUUACAAAUUCGCUUAAGGUGUAACAUACAAGUUUAUCUAUUGAUUUUACAUUCUAGGUUCAUGACAUGAUCUCAAUGAUCAGCAAUGUGGUCUAAGAAAGUGAAGAAUUUGGAAUACGAUGAGUUUUGUUUCGAUCUUCUCUAUUACAAAGAAAGUAUAAAUUUUGAUUAUAUUUCACAACAAAGGUUUUUACUAGCAAAUCGAGACUACUACUGUAGGAAAACGUCUAGAUCAAGAUAAAUUUUGCUAUACAACGACAACGUUUAAGUUCAAGAAAGUGAAGAAUUUUACGAUGAGUAGAUGAGCCUCGUGAACCAAAAGCAGGCGUAGAAGCUGAUUGUUCCGGUGACAAUAAAGAAUGCAUAAGAAGCAAUGAGCAUGUACCCGAAGUAUAAGAGGACCGAGACCAGCUUUGUGAUUUCGAGCCUUGUGAAGAAGUAGAAUGUGGCGUAGAGGAAGAGGUACAGAGCCGAUGAGCCGGAUGUGAGGUAUGAUCUCCACCACCACAAGUAAUCCUCGCUGCACAACUGGAAGUAGCAGAGGACGAUGGUGAUCUCAGCACAUGUGAUGAUGAGGAUGAUGAAGACCAAGAAGAGGAAACCAAAGAUGUAGUAGAACUGGUUCAGCCAAAUCGAAGUGAGGAUGAAGAAUAGUUCGUUGAAAACUGCUCCGAAUGGGAGGAUCCCUCCGAUUAGAAUUGAGAAAACUGGGUUCUUGUACCAGGUCUGUUCUGGGAUCUCUCUUGGGACUUUGUUUGUCUUUACUGGAUCCUCAAGUGCUGGCUUCCUGAACCCAACAUAGCCUCCCACAAAUACGAGUGGGACUGAGAUUCCCAACCAUAAAUAGACCAGGGUCAACAUUGUGCCAAAUGGCACAGCUCCGGAUGAGUUCUGGCCCCAAAUCAGAGUGUUCAAGGCAAUGAAAAUGGCAGAAACAGUUGCUGGGAACAUGACUGCUGUCCCGAAUGCGAUUUUCAUCCAUUCUGUACCCUGAAACGUCUUGUACAACCGAACUGAGGCAUAACCGGCGAAAAGUCCCAUGAAGACAAAGAGCAAGAGCAUUGUGGUCAUAAGACCACCCCGGUUAGAUGGGGAGAGGAAGCCAAGGACAGCAAAUAUCAUUGUCACCAGUAUCAUUCCAAACAAUUGAACACCAGUUCCAACAUAUACACAAAGCAAUUCAGAGUUAUUUGGAGCCCUGAAGACAUCCCCGUGGACAAGUUUCCAUCCUGUUUCUUCUUGCGCUUCUUCCUGGGUCUCGAGUUCAUUAUACUUGGAGAUAUCACGGUAGAGUGUUCUUAGCAUAAUCAUCGCUACUAUACACGAAAGGAAGAGGACAUUAACUAAUGAUUUGACAAUUGAAAACCAAUGGAUUUGGUCGUCACUCAUCCGUAGAUAAGCAUCCCAUCUAGAAGCCCACUUCACAUCACUCUCCUAAACAGGUAGACAUGAAAAGAAGUAUCCUAUGAGAUGACUAGUUCCUCACAAAUGACAAAGUAUGUUCAACACCAUUACAUCAGAAAUAUUAGGGCAAAAGACAUACGAUAGUAGUUCAUGACAAAAAUAAAUGAUGCUAUAAUAAGCAAACAGUAGAUAGUAAAUUAUGAGUUAUAAUUCUCCUAUGAGAAAAUACCAAGUAAAAUUUUAAAUUAAUGAGCUCACCUGGAAUUCAACAUCAUAGGUAAAUACGAUUUCUUGCUUUUCGGCAACCUCUUGAGGAGAGUUAGAAUUCAAAACAGAAUGUUUCGAAUGGGGGUCACAGGUAGUUAAACGAGUCUUUGGAUCAUUCCAUUUCCCUUCAUAUUCAUGUUUAACACUGGACAUUCAACAGUCAAACAAACCGUAUGACCAACUGAUAAUUUAGAAACAAGAUUCAGCAAGAAGGAAUCAUGCAGGAGAAAAGGAACGCCCUGAAAAAAACUGACCUAAAUGGUUUAACCUCAAAUCCCACAAUUCUUGACGUUCCAGUUUGCAGAUCUUUAUGGUACUUCACAGUAAAUGCCAGAUGGUUGUGGAUGAAGUAUUUCUCUUCUUUGCUCUGAGCACAAUAACAUAGUGUAAGAACGACAAAAACAUAAGCAUCUCCAAAUAAGAAAGGUAUUUGGUGCCAACAAAUAAUGGACAUACCCCAGCAUAAUGACCUUUGAGCCCAACAUGGAACCCAAGCCGAUAAACAGUACGAGCUUUUUGAUAUAGCCUUUGAAUGGGAACAACUAGAGGUAGAUUAUCAAGUAUCCUGUCAUAGAAAAAAAAGUCUUAAUAAGAUAUGCGACUUUGUUUUAGUUCCUCAAAUAUACUAGGAUAAAUCAUUUAAAGUGUCAGAAAAAAUUAAAUACAUGUUCACUCGAUACUCGUCAUCUAUUUUCUCCUUAAACUCCUUUACAAUUUUGGCAUUAGGUGUUAUCCGGCAGACAAUGUUGCACAUCUGAGGCUCCCGCAUUCUAAACUGCACAAGUCCGAUUGUAAGUUUACGAACAUAGGAGAAACAAGUAGGCUUAGAGUUGUACAAGUGCAGUAACACUAACCACAUAGGGGGAGUUCUUGAUCCGGUCACCAUGGAGCACUUCCCCAAGAUUCUCUAUACUGUCGAUGAUUCUCUCAGGCUGGCAGUAAGGGAGAGAGUAAUAGGAGUAAGGAAGCUGAGUCUUUGUAGAAGUCACCGUGUUCACUUUAACCUUCAAACGAUCUCCCUGCAAUAAUUCAAAUUCCGCGAGGCAAAGCACUUUGCUUCUCAGUCAAGUGAAGUAAAACAAUGAUGGAAUUUCAAAUCUAAUUUACAAGAAGUAAUUCAAAUUCCACAGACAGCAUUUGUAAUCCAGUGAAACUAAAUGACAAUCUUCUUAGAGUACUUGCUUAGGAGUUAGGGCAUAUACAGAUCGAUGUCGGACCAACCAAGAACAGAUGCGCCGGGAAUUACUCUACGCAUCAAAGUAUUAAUAAAAAACAGCCUGAGCAAAUCAAAGAAAUAUGCAGAGCAAAAGAACAUAUAUCAAAACCUACAAAUCUCAAGAUUUGAACUAUGACAGAGGUCAACUAAACCUAAUUCGACGAUCAUUUCAAUAUCAAAGUAGCAGCCAAUCGAAUUUACGAUAACCUACUCUCCAAUCCUUCUAUCUUCCUCCAUUUUCUCGGCAACCAAACAGACCAAACCUAACACUAGGUCACAGUCACAGAUUCGAAAAGGAACACACGGAUCACUCAUUUAAUACACAAACACAUACAAUUUCGACAAAAAAUCGAAAUUAAAUGAAAAUACAGAUUAGAUUUGUCGGCGAUUGAGAGCUGACCUUCAAGAAGUCCUGCGGAGUGACGCCGGGGAGGUAGAAGGAGUGGGCGCCAUGGACUAAGAGUAAGAAGAUCGCAGAGAUCGCCAGGACUGCCUGGGAUUUACGAGCUGCCAUGGCCUCCGGCUGAGAGAGAGAAGAGGAGGAGUGUGUAUGUCUGGAGAGGAGCCGAAGGAGGAGUUAGUUUGUUGGUUGGUGUUUAACAGUUGGAUUCAUAUAUACUAAAGCCGAAGGAGGAGUUAGUUUCAACCUGACCCAACCACAAUGGCGAUUCUCAUUGGAGGAGUUAGUUUCAACGAAGUAUUAAAUAUCCAUGAUAUCGGAAAUAUUGUUAAUCCAAAAAUAUAGAAAUUUCGAUAGAAAUAUCGGGAUAUUAUCGAUAUCGAUAAAAAUUGAAUAAAAACCACGGAAAUUGUAAGAAAAACUUGGAAAUUUUUAUUGAAACUUUGCAGGAUGUUUAUUUAGUCAAUUAUCUAUUAGUUUAUCAUAAAAAAUUGUAAGGAAAUGCAUUGCAUGAUAGAUAUAACUAAUUUAAGUUGAUUAUAUAGCGAGCUGGCAAGGUCUAAUACCUUGCAUGGUAAGAUACAUGAGUGACUUAGCAAGGUCUAAAAUAUCGAUGAUAUCGGUAGUUCAAAAACAUGUAAAUUUCGAUGAAAAUAUCGAAAUAUUAUGAAUAUUUUAGACCAUGAUUUCAACCUGCACCACAUAGACGAUGAAAAGAAAUCAACGUUCAACCCUUUCACACCCAGAUUAUAUAGUAAUUAGUGACCAAGUCAUCAAGGCAAAACUCCAUAUCAAUCGUACGUCUAUAAUUGCAUAUUAAUUUCCAGCUCCACGUUGAUUCGAUAAAGAUCCUCUGUCUGGUUUGAUGAAUCCCAAUUAUAAUAUGUCCUAGUCGUUUCAGCUGACUUUGGUUAGAAUGAAUAAUAUAUUUUAAUUUCUUUACAAUUACUUGGAAAUUUCCAAUUAUAUCUUACGUUAAUAGAAAGAUAAUUAUAAAUAGGAAAUUAAUUCUUUAAUUUUCUUUUGUCACCAAAGAAAAUUAAGAAAUGCGAAUUAGAAAUGCUAGUUUCAACAACUUCAUUUAAAAAUAUUCCGAAUAAUAUACAAUUAAUAUCACGCUAGAGUCUAGGACAAAUAAACCUACUUUGAUUAAUGUCACGUCAAGAACGGUCAAGAUGUGACAGGGGCACUUUUGUAAAUAUGAUAUAAAAACUGUGAAGCAAUCAUCUUCAACAUUGCAUCUUUCCGGGCACAUAUGAACAUAAAAAAUAAAUUGACGUUCUACACGAAAUCUUUCACACCCAGAUUAUAUAGUAAUUAGUGACUAAGUUAAGUGAAGGCAAAACUUCAAAUCAAUCGUACGUGUAGUAUUGCAUAUUAAUUUCCAACUCCACGUCGAUUCGAUAGAGACCCUCUGUCUGGUUUGAUGAAUUCCAAUUAAAAUAUUUCCUAGUUGUUUCAAUUGACUUUGCUUACCAAUCAGAAUAAAUAACAUAUUUUAAUUUCUUUACAAUUACUUUGAAGUUUCCAAUUAUUUCUUAGGUUAAUAGAAAGAUAAUUAGAAAUAGGAAAUUAAUUCUUUAAUUUUCUUUUGUCACCCAAGUAAAUUAAGAAAUGCGAAUUAGAAAUGCUAGUUUCAACUAUACAAUUAAUGUCUCGUUAGAGUCAAGGACAAAUAAACCUACUUUGAUUAAUGUCACGUCAACAAAACAGUCAAGACACGGCAGGGGCACUUUUGUAAAUAUGAUAGAUAUUUUGGGGCAGUUUUAUAAAUAAAAAACUUCUAUUGUGAGUUUUAAUUGUUAUGUUUGUGUUUUAAUCAUUAUGUAUGAUGAACACUAGUAUUUUGUUAUAUUGUGAGUUUGAAGUAUGUUUUUUAAUAUAUGUGAUAUUUAUUAGAUUUUAAUCGUCGUGUUCUAGCCGUGUCUUUAUUUUUUGAGUUUUGUCGUGUCGCUGAGUUCAUAGGAUUGUAUUUGACCUGUUGAAAAAUGGCCAUGAACGAUCUAGUAUCAUUAACAGCAGCUUUAGGGCGUGUUUGUUUGACCUUCUUAGGGGGGACUGGACUGGACUACACUAAUUGGUAUUGUAGUCUGAUGUUUGGUAGGGGCAAGGAUUAGGUUUAAUGGGAUUAGAUCCGACUCGCACGGAUUAAACCCCUCGCUAGGAGUUCUUAGCGAACCACCCCAAAAACGUCCGGAUUCGUAAGACCUCCUCCCUCACGUCGUCCUUCUCAUCCGAUUGCGCUAUUGCGAGAAAGAACCUCGGUCAUCCUAGGAGAGAGUGUCGUCGACGUCCUCCUCCCUCACGUCGUCCUCCUCAUCCUCAUCUCUGCGUCCUGCUCGCCGUCAACUGCAUCCUGGUCGCCCUCAUCUGCAUCCUGCUCCUCAUCUGUUCCUCUCGUCGUCCACUCCCUCGUCUUCACGUAACAGAUCUGCUCGCCCUCAUCUGCCUCCAGUUGUCUGGUAAGCUUCGAUUGUUCGAUUUUUUUCGUCGAUUUGAGUCGAUUUAGGUGGAUUUUUUUCAUCGAUUUGGGCGGAUUUGUUUUGGGUUUGAGCUUUAUUUGAUUCUGCAGUUGAACAAAUUUUAGGGUUUUGAUAUUUAGGUGAAAUUGAGAUUAGAAAUUGGGGUUUUCAUAAAGCUUGGAAUUUGGGGUUUGAAAUUGAGAUUAGAAAUUUGGAAUUUGGAGUUUGAAAUUUGGAAUUUGGGGUUUUCAUAAAGCAGUGUGUGUGUAUGUAAGUAUGCAGUAGAAAUUUGGAAUUUGGGGUUUGGAAUUUGGGGUUUUCAUAAAGCUUGGAAUUUGGGGUUUGAAAUUGAGAUUAGAAAUUUGGAAUUUGGGGUUUCAAAUUUGGAAUUUGGGGUUUUCAUAAAGCAGUGUGUGUGUGUAUGCAGUGUGUGUGCGUGUGUAUGUAUGUAUGCAGUGUGUGUGUGUGUGUGUAUGCGGUGUGUGUGUGUGUGUGUAUGUAUGCAGGGUGUGUGUGUAUGUAUGCAGGGUGUGUGUGAGUGUAUGUCAGUGUGUGAGAGUGUGUAUGUCCGUGUGAGUGCAGUGUGUGCAUCUGACCAGUGUGUGUGUGUGUGUAUGUAUGCCGUGUGUGUGUGUGUAUGUAUGCAGUGUGUGUGUGUGUGUGUGUGUGUGUAUGUAUGCAGUGUGUGUGUGUGUAUGUAUGCAGUGUGUGUGUGUGUGUAUGUAUGUAUGUAUGUGUGUGUGUGUGUGUGUGUGUAUGUAUGUAUGUAUGUAGGGUGUGUGUGAGUGUAUGUCCGUGUGUGAGAGUGUGUAUGUUCGUGUGAGUAUGUGUGUGAGUGUGUAUGCAGUGUGUGUGUGUAUGCAGUGUGUGCAUCUGACCAGUAUGUGUGCAGUGUGUGCAUCUGACCAGUGUGUGUGUGUGUAUGUAUGUCGUGUGUGUGUGUGUGUGUAUGUAUGCAAUGUGUGUGUGUGUGUUUAUGUAUGCAGUGUGUGUGUGUAUGUAUGUAUGCAGUGUGUGUGUGUGUAUGUAUGUAUGCAGUGUGUGUGUGUGCGGGUGUAUGUAUGCAGGGUGUGUGUGAGUGUAUGUCCGUGUGUGAGAGUGUGUAUGUCCGUGUGAGUAUGUGUGUGAGUGUGUAUGCAGUGUGUGAGUGUGUAUGCAGUGUGUGUGUGUAUGCAGUGUGUGUGUGUGUGUGUGUAGUAUGUGUAUGUGUGUGUGUGUAUGUAUGUAUGUAUGCAGGGUGUGUGUGAGUGUGUGUAUGUCCGUGUGUGAGAGUGUGUAUGUCCGUGUGAGUAUGUGUGUGAGUGUGUAUGUAGUGUGUGAGUGUGUAUGCAGUGUGUGUGUGUAUGCAGUGUGUGCAUCUGACCAGUAUGUGUGCAGUGUGUGCAUCUGACCAGUGUGUGUGUGUGUAUGUAUGUCGUGUAUGUGUGUCUGUAUGCAGUGUGUGUGUGUAUGUAUGCAGUGUGUGUGUGUGUGUAUGUAUGUAUGCAGUGUGUGUGUGUGUGUAUGUAUGUAUGUAUGCAGUGUGUGUGUAUGUAUGUAUGUAUGCAGGGUGUGUGUGAGUGUAUGUCCGUGUGUGAGAGUGUGUAUGUCCGUGUGAGUAUGUGUGUGAGUGUGUAUGCAGUGUGUGUGUGUGUAUAUGUGUGUGUGUAUGCAGUGUGUGUGUGUGUGAGUGUAUGUCCGUGUGUGAGUGUGAGUAUGUCCGUGUGUGUGUGUUAGUGUGAGUGUGAGUGUGAGUAUGUAUGUGUAUUUUGCACAUUUGUCCAUGAGUGUGUGUGUGUGUACUUGGUUUAUAACCAUGAUAUUACAAUGUGAAUGUUUUGUAUUGUGUGGGGUUGAUGCUGAAUUACAAUUUUUUGUGGUUGUUGGUUGCAGAGAAGAGGAGCAUAAACGGAAGGCUAAGGCUAAGGCUACUGCAUUACAGGUGUCCUUUAAUUUCCCUCUUCACAUGCAAUGCCUAGCAAUGAUAGCAAUCCUCAUACUAGUGUUCUUAGACACAUGUUUAUAGAUGUAUAAGAGUAGAACAUUUUGAAUAUGAUGCCUCGGGUUAAUGAUAACUUUUUUUUUUCAACGCCACCUGUAUAUUUGUUGCUCGGGUUAAUGAUAACUUUUUUUUUUUCAACGCCACCUGUAUAUUUGUUGCCUCGGGUUAAUGAUAACUUUUUUCUUUUCAACGCCACCUGUAUAUUUGUUGCCUCGGGUUAAUGAUAACUUUUUUUUUUCCAACACCACCCGUAUAUUUGAUGCCUCGGAUUGUGACUUCGCUAAUUACUUUGAUCUAGUUCAUUUCGUAUCAUAAUCACUUCAUUUCCAUCACCCUUAAUAACAGUAAAUAUUACAUAUAUAAUGUCCUUAAUUUGUUUUUUGUUUUUUUUUUGUUUGGAUAGAUAUGGAUCGAAUGAAGCUUUUAUUGAUCUUAUUGUUAGAGAUGUCUUAUUUGGAGACAAUUUGCAUUUGUACGAUUCUUGUGUUGAUGAUGCUACGUGGCAAACAGAGACAUGUUGAACGACCCACAUUGACUAACCGUUCACUUAUUAGACGAGAGAUUAGUUUGUGUUAUCUGAAUGGUAUAAUAGGGAAUACUGAUAUUGAAUGUGUCAACGAAUUGAGAAUGGAUAGAAGGACUUUUGGCAUAUUAUGUGACUUACUUCGUCAAGAUGGGAGGGUAAAAACUGAUGGUUUGGUGUCUGUAGAGGAGCAGGUGUGUAUGACUUUACAAAUAUUAGCACAUCAUACUAAGAAUCGUAGUGUUGGCGGUAGAUUUUAUAGGUCGGGAGAGACUAUAAGUAGGUAUUUCAAUAUCGUAUUGCAAGGAAUUUUGCGAUUACAAGGUAUCCUACUAAAAGUCCCUCAGCCUGUGCCUAUUGAUUCUACAGAUCCUAGGUGGCGAUGUUUUAAGGUAUGAUGAGAAUUUUUUUUCAUUUUCCCUAAGCUUUAACUCUUCAUUCCCUUUGUAUAAAUUAACAAAAACUUUUUUUUUUUUUUUUUUUUUAAGAAUUGCUUGGGAGCAUUGGAUGGAACACACAUUGAUGUGCAUGUACCUGAAAUUGACAAACCAAGAUACCGAACAAGAAAGGGUCGAGUCGCAACUAAUGUGUUAGGUGUGUGUUCAGGAGAUAUGUAGUUCAUAUAUGUGUUUCCGGGGUGGGAGGGUUCCGCAUCAGACUCUAGAGUGCUACAUGAUGCAAUUACUAGGCCUAAUGGUUUUAAGGUACCAGCGGGUAAGACUAUUACUUAGUCUCAACUUUGUAAGUUAGGUCUAGUUCUGUUUGUCAACUACAAAACACUAAUAAGGUCUGUUUUUUUUUUUCAUUAGGUUAUUAUUACCUUGUAGAUGGUGGUUAUACAAAUGGUGAAGGAUUCCUUGCACCCUAUAGAGGAAUACCUUAUCAUUUAUCUGAAUGGGAGGGACGAACACCUUCUAAUAAGGAAGAAUAUUUUAACAUGAAGCAUUCUAAGGCAAGGAAUGUAAUUGAAUGCUGUUUUGGCUUGCUAAAAGGAAGGUGGUCGAUACUAAGGAGUCCAUCUUUCUAUCCGAUAAGGACACAAGGUCGAAUAAUUACCGCUUGUUGUCUACUACACAAUCUUAUUAGGCAAGAGAUGUCUGUAGAUCCAAUGGAGAAUUUGCCAAUAAUAGAAGAUGGACAAAAUACAAAAGAAGGUGAAUAUGUUGGUAGUGUUCAAACAUCUGACCAGUGGACUGCAAAGAGGAAUGACAUGGCUCAGGAAAUGUAUAACGAGUGGAGAGCAAUUAGGAACUAGCAACCGAACUAGCUAUAUGUGUUAAUGAUAACAUUUUAUUUUAGUAUUCCUUUUUAUCAUGCAUUUGUUAGAUAUUAGCACAAUGAUUGGAUGGUAUGCAAAUUAAUUGGAUAUUAUGCAAGUUGAUUGGAUAUUAUGCAAGUUGAUUGGAUAUUAUGCAAAUUGAUUAUUUGUAUGGUAUUUUCCUUCAUUAAAAUAUUUUUUGUUUAGGUAUGGAUAACGAAAAUAUUUUGAAUGCUACUCAAGAGCCAAAAGGAAGAAGGCGUAAAUGGGAAGCAUUUGAGGAAGAAGUAUUACUAGGAGUUCUUGAGGAUUUUGUUGCUCGGAAGCAACGGUGUGACACCGGUGCUUUCAAACAAGGUACUUUGGUUGAAAUAGCAAAAGCUGUCAAUGUUUUAUGUCCUCAUUCAAAUAUAAAGGCAAAUCCACAUAUUGAGUUCAAGUUGAAGAAAUGGAAAAAAACAUAUAGUAUGGUCGUUGACAUGAUAAACACAAGUGGAUUUGCAUGGAAUGAUGUCAAAAAGUGCGUUGAAGUUGAUAGUGAUGACUCAUGGCAAACUUAUGUGCAGGUUCAUAUCCUAUUUUAUUUAUACAUUAGUUAUAUUAUUGCUGCUAUAUUUGUCACGCAUGCUAAAUUUUAGUUUUGCUAUGUUGAUAUAAUCUUAGAGAAAUAAAGAAGCCGAUGGAUGGAGAAUCAAACCUUUUCCACUGUUUGAUAGAUUUGCAUAUAUAUUUGGAAAAGAUCGGGUUACGGGUAAUGUAGCCGAAACCCCUGCUCAAAUGGUGGAGGAACAAAGUCAUGAUCAUGUUGGUGAAAGUGAUAUUGGAGGUGAAAAUUUUGUUUCUUCAAUGAACCAACAAAGCCAACAAAGCACCCCAUCUGAAAAUAGCCAAAGAAAGAUGAAAAGAGCUGUGGGAAGUUCAAGUGAUGGAACCGAGGCAAUUAUCAGUGGACUGAAAGAUUUUUAUGUUGAAAGUGGGAAGAGGAUGCAAAUGGUAACUGAAGCUUUAGUUCAAGGUACUGCAGAUCAUACUGACAUAGCUAAUGAACUUGAAGCAAUGGGUCUCUCUCCUAUGGAUCAAAUUGAUGCAUUGUCUCUUAUUUUGGAUAAACCAAAAAAUGUGGGAGUGUUCAGGGCAAUCAAACCGGAACUUAAGAAAGUGUUCGUCCAAAGGUUUUUAAGCGAUAACGCAAGCGGAUGAGGAUUUUGGCUAAUGUUAACAUGGAUGUAUUUUAUUAAUGUUAACAUGGAUGUAUUUUAUUAAUCAUAAAAUCUUAUGUUAUGGCUUAUAACUUAGUUUUGCACUAGUAUUUUGACUUAUGUUAACUAGCCAUUUUGUAAAUUAUGGAGAUCUAUUUUGGCUAAUGUUAACUAAUGUUAACUAGGAUUUUCUAAAUUAUGGAGAUCUUCUUAUGUACUUGUAUUUGUUGAAGUUGCAUGUAUUGGGCACUAUUAUUUUUCUUCUGUUGGGUGAUAGAGUUUAAAUCAAGCUACAUUUGCAAAUUAAACCCAAUUCUAUUAGCAGGUAAUAGAAACAAAACAAUUGUCAAUUUUUUUUAAGAUUCAUAAUAUACAUGGCAAAAAUAUGCUCCAAUUAACCCAUAUCAUGAGAUUUGUAGCAUUACUCUAUUACACAAUGGCAAAAAUUUGUAGUCCUAGUCUAAGCAAACACAAAUCUGGUGAACAGUACUGUUUUUCUUAUCCUGCUUCUUAGUCCGACAUUACACCAAACGCUUCACUAAGUUAGUCCAGCUUAGUCCAGUCUAAGCCAGUCCAGUUUAGUCCCGGCAGCUAGUCUAGUCCGAGACAGUCCGGCGCAAUAAACGCACCCUUAAGGAAAUACUAGGAAUUACUUUCCAAUGCCUGCAAGUUCUCAUGGCAUCGGUGAAUAUGAUCAAAAUUUCACUUGAAAUUUCAGUAGGGGGAAGUUGAUGGUCAAGAUCAUGCUUUUUGCUUCGAUGGAAUUCCUAAAACCAUAGAUUCCGAUUAAGCAACAUCUCUAAGGCAUUGUCUUAGAAUUAAAUUGUCUAAAAAACAACUAAAUUAUGUAGAUUAAAGUCAAACACCAAACCUCAUGAAAAACUUUUGGUGUCCUGAUGACAUUUGAAGGUCCUGCAAAAAGCUUCUGCAACUAAGAUAAGCAAAUCCUGCCUGUGGCUUGGAAAUUUGAUAUCGAAUUUCGUAUUGUAAGAAUAGUUACAUAUACUGGUGAAUUAGAAUAUCAAUCGAAUAUUGAUUAGUACGCAAUCUAUCGAACAACACUUGAAAAUGAAAACGGCUAUUCUGGCUCAAGGGCAAGAAUAUAAGGUUAGUAUCAAUCAAUAAAUUGGAACAACUUCAUAAGUAUAUUUUAGAUAUAUAAAUUUAAAGGAUCUAAUUCGAUAAAAUUUAAAAGUUAAUUUUGUUGGAAUCGAUAAUAACCAUGAUAAUAACACAGUUUUGCUUUCUUUCCAAGUCCAACAACAAUUCAUAAUUUCGUAUGUAUAGCUGCAAUAGAUCUAUGUCUGGAUGAUUAAGAAUUGAAGGGAAUUCGCGAGAAGUGGUAAAGUCAUUUUCAAUCAAGGAUAGUAGUUGUAUAGUAUUGUCCCAAUCCCAGCAAAUAAAGCUUUUCUAGUCCAAGAUCGGACAAUAAUAACACACUAGUCAAGCAGGUUAUGAUUUAACUUCAAUAAGUAAACUUCUGAUGAUACAAUUAUAUCAGUGAAAAAAUUAUGUAUCUUGCUUUCUCGAUCAUUAUCCGAAUUAAAUCACAUGAUCUACCAUUUAUGUGGUCUCCGUUAAUUUUAUUGAGUUUCAUUUUUACGAAUCUACUUUUUAAGCGAGCUACUUAACGCGUUACUAAACUUAAACUUGAAGUUUUUCUUCGAUUAAAAAAAAUCCAAUGCUAUUAGAAGUGCAGAUUUCAGUUGGAGGAGGAAAAGUAGGUAUUGACUGGGUAAAAGUUGUCAGACUCCAUAAAGCACGUUUCAUGUUCCAACUUUUAAGUUUUUGGGAUCAAAACAAAAGUCACUGAAACAUCCCAUGUGAAACUUAUACUCUAGUAGCAAGCAAAACUAGUACUCUAGUAGCAAGCAAAAGUAGCUCAUCCCCACAAUCCAAACUAUUUCUUCUUUUUUAUUUCAUUUCAGAUUUGCAGACUUAUUUCUUAAGAAACAUCAUUUAAUUUCUAUACUAGACCCAAAAGCAAUACGUGUAAAAAGAAGAACAAAACUUCCUUCCAGUAUUGUUCGUUUUAAUGAAAAAGGAAAAUUUUAUUAUAAAAAGUCACUUAUGCCACUAGUACUACGGUCUAGUGGUAUUUAUCUUCACUGAUAAGUGAGAGGUCUUAGGUUCAAAUCUCGUCAAAGGCGAAUUUGCACCAAUUUAUUGCUAGCCCAUUAUGAGGUUAAGUCCAACCCCUCCCCUUAGUGUAGAUAAUAUCGAUUAUUCAAAAAAAAAAAAGUCACUUAUGACACUAUUUAUAUGCAACACCUUUUUGUCAUUUUGAUUAAAACUCAAAGUUUUCAAACCAUUUUCAUUAGUUUUCUUAUAAAAAAAUCCCACAGCAACUAACACUAUCGCUGCUAGUAGAUAGUUUUGGAAGUGUGGUGCUAUCACUCACACCUCUUUUUAUUUUGUAUACAAUGCUCUCAAUUUUUUACCGUUAAAUUAAAUGCAUUGAAAAUAAUCAAAUGAUAAAAAUUAGCAAAAAGUGUAUGAAAAGUUAAAUAAGAUGGAUGGAUAGUACCACGCUUUUAAAAAAAAAAAUCAUAUCUUAACUUGUUUUACUUGAGCCCCAAAAAGAAGCCUGGCGUUUGAAUUCUGUUUCCCUCAAGACUUAAUCGUAUCUUAACUAAUCACUCCUUAAUAAAUAAAAAAAUUAAAAAAAAAAGAGAAGGAAUAUUUUAGAUGCGAUUCCUAAUCUUUAAUAUUAUUUGAUUAAAACCUUAAUGGUUUUUAAAGUUUGAUCAAAGUCCCUUGACUUUGUACACCUCAUUAUGUUACUAUUAAUAUUUAUAUUUUUAUAGUUUUGACAUUAAUUGUUUGAUAUUUUAUGAGAUUUAUAAUCCUAUAAAUUUAAAGUCUCUCAUUAUAAUACUAUUAGAAACUGUUACAAUAAAUAAAUUCAAACAUUUUGAUUGAAUAAAUGGAUAUAAACUAUGUAACAAUAAGAAAUAAUAAAUGACAAAAGAAUGUAUCUAUAGUGUUAAAAAAAUUGAUAUAUUUUACAAAAAAAUUAUACAUUUCACAUAUAACAAAGUGGUACAUUAAUACAGAAGAAUUAAUACAGAAGAAUGAGUACAUUAUGACCAUGGCUGAGUUGGUAGGCGGAGCUUUUCUCUCUUCUUUCCUCUCUGUUUUGUUCGACCGGAUAGCUUCCCGUCCCGUCCUCGAUUUCAUCUCUGGGAAGAAAAACGAGCUGCUCAUGAGAGAGUUGAAGCUCAAGUUGCUCACCGCUGACAAGCUGGUUGACGAUGCCGAGGAGAAGCAGAUGACAAGCCCGACCGUGAGGAAGUGGCUCGACGAUCUCAAAGAAGCUAUCUACUGUGUAGGAGAGUUGCUGGACGAGAUCAAAGCUGAAGCUCUUCGACGCCAGCUGGAAGGUGAGGAUGACCAUUCUCCUGCAGCUAGCAGCAGCACAAGCGGGAUCUCGAGAUCAGAGUCCAACCCUUCUUCUCCGUCCGAUGAAUUUCAGAUUCCAACCGACUUCCCGAUCCCUCCCAUGCCCACCAUGGGAAGCACUCCUAUCUUAGGGCCAGUCGGAUCAUUCAAACGUAAUGCUUCAAGGAUCCUUUUUUUCUCCUUUUUCCUUCCGAAGACGGCAGACUCAUCGAUCCGCGAAGUAGUUUGACGAGUUCUUUCUUGUGGCCUAUGUUGAACUCCUUCUUUCAGACCAUGAACGUCUCUUUCAUUGAGAAUGAGGUUUAACACCUCAGAAUGUUUGAUAUCUUCGGUUCAAGAGAGUUGUGAAAUUCAUCGGACGGAGAGGAAGGGUUGGACUCUGAUGAAUUUCACAACUCUCUUGAACCGAAGAUAUCAAACAUUCUGGGGGUAUUAAACCUCAUUCCCAAUGAAAGAGAUGUUCAUGGUCUGAAAGAAGGAGUUCAACAUAGGCCACAAGAAAGAACUCGUCAAACUACUUCUCGGGUCGAUGAGUCUGCCGUCUUCGGAAGGGAAAAUGACCAAAAAAAGGAGCCUUGAAGCAUUACGUUUGAAUGAUCCGACUGGUCCUAAGAUAGGAGUGCUUCCCAUCGUGGGCAUGGGAGGGAUCGGGAAGUCCACCCUUGCCCAACUUGUGUACAAAGAUGUCAAGGGUGACUUUGAUGUCCAAGCAUGGGUUUUUGUCGGAGUAGAAAUUGAUAUUCUUCAAAUAGCACAAACGAUACAUGGGAAGAUCACAAAAAACCCUUGCACGAUCACAGAUCUGGAUCUGCUUUCUGAAGAAUUGGAGGAGGUUUUGACAGGAAAAAAGUUCCUCUUCGUUCUUGAUGAUGUCUGGAGUGAGGAUUAUCUUCUCUGGAAUAACUUGAUGACUCACUUCAAUAGCUGCGGAGGGAAUAUCCGAGGACGAUUCUUGGUUGUUAUUUGCAAAGCAUGCCUUCACGGAAGACAGUGUUAUUACUGCCCAUCCGUAUCUUGAAGUCAUUGGAAGGAAAAUUGUUAACAAGUGUCAAGGCCUUCCUUUAGCUAUAAAAUCAUUAGGGGGCCUGUUACACUCUGUUUUGAAUCGAAGGGAAUGGGAAAAGAUAUGGAAGAGCGACUUAUGGGAGUUGCCAAAUUAUGAGGUUUUGCCAGCUCUACGGUUAAGUUACCAAUAUCUACCUCCGCAUCUCAAACGUUGUUUUGCUUAUUGUGCAAUAUUUCCUAAAGGUUACAACUUUCAACGUUCAACGUUAAUUUCAUGGUGGAUGGCUGAAGACCUCUUACACCCCACGGGAAGGAGGCAAUGGAAGAUGUUGGAAGUGAUCACUUUGAUAUUCUAGUAUCAGGGUCUUUCUUUCAACAUUCAUUAGACGAGUUGGGUAUGUUAUGUUUCACCAUGAUUUAGCAAAGUUUGUAGCUGGAGAAUUUUGUUUAAGAUUGGAGGAAAAUCAGCCGCCCAACAAAAAUUUAUGCAAAACUCGUCACUUUGCAUUCAUGGAAUUUGGAGGUCAUGACAUUCAGAAAUUUGAGGCGCUGGAUGAGGCUAAGCACUUGCACACCUUUCUACAACUUGAAGGAGGCUACAAAGACUGCAAUAAGUUGGUAUUGAACUACACACUUGUUGAUUUAUUACCAAAUCUACCAUGUUUAAGAGUGAUCAAGUUAUCAUGUUGUGAUAUCGUUGAGUUGCCUAGCUCAAUUGGCAACUUAAAACACUUAAGGCAUUUGGACGUGUCGUACACUAAAAUAAGAGAAUUACCUGCGACGGUGUGCACCUUGUACAAUUUACACACCUUGUUAUUGUAUUUUUGUCUUGAGCUGAUUCAACUACCAACCAAUUUGGGAAGGCUAAUCAACUUGCGCCAUCUCAACAUCCGAGAAACAGAGAUCAAAGAGAUGCCUGCAGGGAUGUGUAAAUUGAAAAAUCUCCAAACAUUAAGCGAUUUUGUGUUGGACAAACAAACAGCUCAAAGGAUUGGAGAGUUAAAAGAGCUUCAGCAUUUGCGCAGAAGCCUUAAAAUCUCAGGAGUUGGUAACGUUAAGGGGAAUGCUUUGGAGGCAGAUAUCAUGAGCAACAAGGAGAAUCUGAACCUACUUUUCUUGAUAUGGGGAAGAGCUUAUGAUGCUAGUAAUCAUGAUCCAGAAAAUGACAGAGAAGUGCUCAACAAGCUCCAACCUUAAACAACUUAUAAUUAGGUCUUACGGGGGUUUAACAUUUCCAGGUUGGUUAGGAGAUCCGUAUUUCUCUAAACUAUCUCGUAUUGCACUUGGUGAUUGCAAGCAUUGCUGCUUAUUGCCACCACUUGGGCAACUACCCUCCCUCAAAGAGCUUCAUGUUCUAGGGAUGAAUAACGUGGUUGAGAUUGGUAGCGAGUUUUACGGUAACGAUACUUGUGGGAGUGCUCCAUUUAGAUCUCUACAAGAAUUGCACUUGGAAGAUAUGUUGGAGUGGGAAAAGUGGUCCUAUUACGAUGGAAGCAGAGGCAACACCACAAUAAUGUUUCCUAAUCUUCGUGAGCUUGAAUUGAGAAAUUGUCCCAAGCUGACUGAGAUAUUACCGUUGGAGAAGCUGCAAAGUCUUGAAAGUGUAAAAUUGAAUGGUCUGGAGUCCUUUAGUGGUUCACUUGCACAUGUGGAAUCUAAAUGCCCUAAAUUCCUUUCCCUCGUUCACUUGGAAAUGGUCGACUGCCCAAAUUUUGUAUGUUUUCCAGAUGGAGGGAUGGAUGCGCCCAAAUUGGAGGAGCUGCUUAUCUAUCGAUGCAAGAAAUUGAGGUCGUUGCCAGAACAAAUGCAUACCUUUCUACCGUCUCUUCAGAAAUUGAUGGUAAUUGGCUGUCCAGAAGUGGAAUCAUUUCCUCAAGGAGGGCUGGCGUCAAAUAUACAAGACCUUUUUUUUAGUGUUGUAGAAAACUCGCUGCAAACCGCUCACUGUGGGGUUUAACAAGACUCAACUCUCUUAGAAUGUUGGAAAUCAGUUUCAGUGAAGAAGGUGGAGAAGAAAUGGGAUGUUCGUUUCCGGAAGAGGGUUUGCUGCCCGCCACUCUCACUAGUCUCUCCAUCCGCUUUCAUCCAAAUCUUACAACCAUCCAAGGCAAGGUUUUGAGACAACUCACCUCUCUUGAAUACCUCAGAAUAGAAGGAUGCCCUGAGCUCCAGGGCUUUACAGAAGUAGCGCCCAAAUCUCUGAAAAGGUUGGCUAUUUUGGAGUGCCAUAAUAUCGGGUGCUUGCCAGGAGAAUGGCUUCCCACAUCUCUUUCUCAUCUGCUUAUCAAAGAGUGUCCGCUGUUAAAAGAACGAUUCCGAAGAGAGACAGGGGAAGAUUGGCCCAAGAUUUCUCACAUCCCCCGUAUAAAUAUAGAAUAGAUGUUCCUGAAAUUGGUACUUGCCGAAUUCUCUCUCAAGUGUGUGCGUGCCUAUAUGUAAUAUAUGUACGAAACACUUUAGUUGGGUACUUUUUCUGAUGUUUUUUUUUUCCUUGCGCGUUUGAUUUGUGCUUCUAGUCCAGGCUCCAGCAGCAUAUGCUCUUGUUGUUUCGUGUUGAAUUUGUCACAAACUCUUCCUAAUGCAACAACAAAAAUGGAGCUGGUAUAGCCUUUGCUGUUUUGCGGUAAAGUAGUACUACGUACGUAUUCGCAAGAUGAUUACUAGGCUAAAACAAGAGCAAAUUUGGAUAAAAAAUGCUAUUUCUACCAUCUAGUUGUACUAUCAUUCGUGCCGUCUCUCUAAUAGAGAAGAGACUCGCAUGUGUUGGUGGACCCUCCUCUAUUAGAUUUCAUGAUUCACUAACGAAAGCUCGAAGCACCCUAUUUUCAUCCUCAGCUCGUCAAAGCAACCUAUUUUCAUCCUCAGCUCGUCACACCUUUUUCAAGGGGUUUGCUUCUGAAACUCCUAAGCAGGUUCAUAGAGGCGUAACAUGUGCCCAUCAAUACAUCGUAUGGCAGCAACCUGUUACACAAUAGUCUUAUCGUAAUCUUUGCAACCAGCAUGGUGAUGAUAUACAAAUAAAUUAUCGAAAUUGUUUCGUUUAAAAAUUCGGUGAACACGUAGCCAUGGACUUCACAUUGCCAUGGACUCACUCGUUUGACACGGUGAUCAAAGCCAAGGCUACUGUUGAUAGAGUGCCUAAUUGCAGGAACAAGGUUACCUGUGCUGACAUUUUGGCCUUGGCCACAAGGGAUGUUGUGAAAUCCCUUUCCCAGCAUUCAGGUCCAUCGGAAUGUGUCCGUGCUAGACUAAAUGCAAGGACUGUCCUUGUGUAAAUUUUGAGCGAACGAAUGAUAUGGCACGAAAGUCCAUGUCCAAGACUCCAAACGAUCGUGAUUUGGAGUUAAAGCAGAUUCCCUUAUUAGUAAAACCCAUGAACAAGUCAGAUUAUUUUACAGACAUGAGAAAACCCAAGAGAAAAAGUUGCCACCUUUUCACACAACCAAAAAUUUCAGGGGAAAAUAAAACACAUACUAAUAUUGGAUCCUUCCUUAUUUCUUGUUUUUAGUCUCCUACUCUGUACAGUAAUAAUGCAAAAGCAUAUGCAACAGCCUUCACAUUGAAAAGCCGAUAUGUGAGUAAAAACAACCAAACCGUAAACUUCAUGUUAUUUGGCUACAAAUGAGGAGAAUCCUCUGGCCAAAUUUAACAUCAAAAGUAAACUAGUUGCAACCUAAUCUAAAGACACAAGGUUAUUGCUAAGCGCUUCAUCAUCAUCGUCAUUAAUUUUUGCUACUCGCUCGUCACUUGAAGGUACAAACUUAAGUCUCUCUGUGUGUUUCCCUUUUGAAAAGCUCAUCAAACUGUAUAAUGUUGUUGAAUUGUAUCGAUGUCAAGUCCUUUCAGCUUCACAACUGACUCAACAUGACCCUUCAGCGUAUGCAACUCCCGAAGCCUGCAACCAAAACGAAAAGCUCUUUUAGAACUCAAUUCUCACGUGGAACAAGUCCAACCAGCAAAGCAAAACAAUGCAAGAUGAAGCAUUUUCCAGGAAACAAGAAACAGAACCGGCAGACAUCAUUACGGAGACAAGCCUGAUUCUAAAUCUAUGUAUGAGUGCAAACGGUCCUUACCUUGCAACCUCAGCCCUCCGCUUGGCUUGUUCUGCAAUCUCAGAAAGCUCCCUGUAGCUGUUCUUCUCAUAGAAAAGGUUGUUCAUUUCAGGUGGCUGAAGGCCGUGAAGGGUCCUCUGUGCUGCAGCCCACUGUGCUUCUCUCUCCUCUUUCCCAUAAUCUUUCUUUGUAGUGAAGGCAGUCUGGUGGGAAGACACAAUAAGGUAAAUUGUGGCAAGAAACAUGAAUCUAACUUAUAUUGUUGGGUAGCGCGGAAUGCAACAUACCUUGUUCUCCAAAAGAUUAUUCCACGCCUUUCCGCUUUGAAUGUAUCGGAUUGCGAAUUUAAGAAAGUCACGAGGGACAUAUGUCACUAUACUGUAAAGCCACAUGACACCAGCCCACCCCUAGCCAGCUCCCUUUAUCCGUGCAAAACCCCAGUUUGCAUAGACUGCCAUUUUGCGGAAUGAGUUAUUUAAAAAAAAAAAAAAAAAAAAAAAAAAAGGAAAAUUCUUUUGUCAUACACAUACGAGAGCAACCAAGUAAAAUAUCACACAGGUUUUUAAGCUUGCUAACGGAGUAAAAUUCUUACUUUCAAAAUGUACAAAUUUCUAGAUUAAUUGUCUUAACAUUAUUGGAAAUUACUACAACUUUUAAAACCUUAAGCAUCCAGUUGAGCAAUUAGGUAAAAUUAUAAAGGUAAUCAGUUUGCUUACCAAUUGAGCAAUCAUGAAAGCUCCAAAUAAGAGAAGUCCAGGGCGUUCAACAAAAGACCAGCUACGAGACCUUGUGAUGAAAAUAAGGGCUUGGCUCACAAUACUCACUUGUAAGUACAACACCGCCAUCGCUCAGGCCUAUCCCUCAAAGAUCUCACAUGAAACUUGUCCUGCAUUAUGAAAAUAAUUAAAUAAAAUCAGAAGAAUGAACUUAUUUGCCCAAAUAACUGUGACCUAAAUAGCUUAUAUAUUAAUGGAAAACAAAGAACUGUAUAUUCCCACCGAGAAGAAGUCGGUAUCAUUCAUAAGCCAGAAGAAGACUACUGUCAUUAGUGCCAAGUAACCUCCAAGGACAAUGCCAGUAGCAAAGAUCUCCCUCAAUUUCCAGCUGUCUGGUUGUGGAGAUGGCUUCACUCGAUCCUUUGAUAUUGUCAUGAUAGUUCCUAGCAGAAUCGUAAAAAAAACAAAGUCAGACUCAUUUCUCAUUGAGGAUUGUCCGAUGGUUUCCAAUGCAGGAUCUUAUCAUUGAGGAUUGUCCGAUAGUUUCAGAGCGCUUUGAACAAGGCAGUGGAGACGAGUGGCCCAAGAUUUCUCACAUCCCAAACAUCGUACAUAAGAAGUGAUUUGUAGCAGGGCAAGGAACUGAUGAGUGAGAAGCAAGCCAAGUCUACCAUUGUCAUCUCCCGGUAAUAUCCGAGCUUUAUAUUAUUUAGAAGUUACGUUGCAUCAAUUGUGGCUAUCAUCAUAUUUGUUUUGCUUGGUUUCUUCUUCUAUAUAUAUAUAUAUAUAUAGGGAUAGGAUCAAGGGACAAAUAUUUUUACACUAUUUUUAAGCCUUUUGAUGACAUGACAUCCAAUGAUUCUUAUUUAUUCAUUAAAUGACAUAAAUGCUUAUGUGGAUUUUAACUAAUAUUAAAGAUUAAAAAAAAACUGAAAAAAAAAAAUCUGGAAAAUUAAAACUAAAAUUAAAAAAAAGGAAGAAACCUUAACUGAAAUCUAAACUUAAUAUUAGAAUUUAGGGUUUCGGUUUCGCAUUCACACAUUCUAUCUUAUUCCCUAGCUUGAUUUUUUUUAGGAUUAAGUACCUAAAAUUCUCCAACUUUUUAGUGUAAUUCUAAAUUGGUCUCAACCUUUUUAAACAUUCCAAGCAAGUACUCAACUUAUUGAAAAUGUCACAUUCGUUAAGCCUCAUUGAAAUUUUUGUUAGAUUAACUAAGGCAUACUUUGUCUCUAACAUCAAUAAGAAUAUCAUGAAAGCAUGGCCUCCACUAAUUAAUGGUCACUACCACCCCUUUUAGGCCAUAACCUCCAAACCCUGCAUACAACCACAAACUUCACCCUACAACUCAAGCUACCAAAAUCGAGAAGAAGGUCAUGGAGGUUGCUGAAAUGGUAUGAACUGUCAUGAUGCAGCUGCCACCAUCUUCACCGCCCACAAAGAAGAACUCGAAACUUUACUAGCUAGAGAUCGACAAAUGAGGAAUUCACAUGAGCAUAAACAAGCUCAUUGAAACCCUAUAUGAAUUUUUAACCCUCUUCCUUGUUAGAAGAUUUCCCAGUCUUCAUUUUUUUCAUUUAAUUCGUGAAUUUGUUUAUUUUUUUUAUUUUUUUUCAUUUUCAUGUCUUUUUUUUUAUGAUUUUUUUUGUUUGUUAUUAUUUUAGUGUCCAAGUAAGCAAAUAAGUGGAACCUAUUAUUGCCACAUGUACAUUUAACGGAAAAGUUAACUGUGACUUAAUGGAUGCGACAUUGUCAAUAGGUUGAGUACUUGUUUGGAGUGUUUAAAAAGGUUUAUACCAAUUUGGAAUGGUACUUAAUCCUUUUAUUCUAAUGUAUUCAAUUUAAUGACAAAAUAUAAAUGUAUAUUAUAUAUUAUCAUGUUAAUCGUGCUUCGCAAUUUGACACUUAUGCUGAUGUGUUAAAGAAAUAUGUUCUUAUCACAAACCUGACUCGAGAAGGCACAACUAAAACCCUUAAGUUUUUCAAGCAAAAUCAUAUCUUGUUAUCGUCCUCAUUUGGUGGCUUGACUUAGAUUGAACUAUUUUAGAUUUAAUCUAGUAUCAACACUUAUGUUUAGUGAACUUGUAUACGCUAAGACAAGAUUUUUCAAAUUGGACAAUGAUCCAAUAUAUUAUUAUGUCUUACAAGUCUCAUCUGUAAUUGUGUGACUCAAAAGGAUUGGUUUAGGGUUGGCGGAGUUCUUGAAGGCCCAAUUGCCUGUUGUUGGUGGUUCUGCCCGUCCCCAGAUUGUCGGGUGCCCCCGCCCCCAGGACACAUCAAGGUGAACGUAGACGGUUCUUGGAAUGAGAUUUCUAAUCGUAGUGGUGUAGGCAUCAUUGCGAGGAAUUUCCAUGGUGAUUUUGUUGCUGCGCGGGUUGCUCGUUUCGAGAGUGUGUUUCUCCCCGGCUCAUAUUGAGGCUUUGGCGGUGAGGGAAGGUCUGUCGUUGUGUGUGUUCCUUGUUGAAAGGGGCUAUCAAAAUUUCAUUUUAGAAAGUGAUACCCUCCAUAUCGUGACGGCUUUAUGUAAGCCUUCGGUUAAUAGGUUCUUCAUCGGUCCUGCUAUCGAGGAUGCUAAAGCUAUUUUUGUCUUCGAUCGCUGGAGGUUCUUCUACCCAUGUUCGACGACAGGCUAAUGAAAUGGCCUACCAACUCACUAAGCUUGCCCUUCAUUGUGAGGUUCUCCGGUCUUAGUUCGAGGAACCUCUAGAUGUGUUAACUGAUCAUUUUGUGUUGGAUUGUAAUGGUUGAUAGUUAUUGAGAGGGGCUGUUUCUUGCUCCCCUCCCUCAGAUGUAAUGGUUGUUAUCAGGCUUCUUUUGAUCUAAUGAAAUGCUCUAUCGUUGCUCUUCAUAAAAAAUAAAAACAACUCUAAUUAUAUAAAGAGCUUGUUUUGAAUUGUUUUUAAAAUGAUUAAAAACGUUUCUAGUAAAAAUGAUUUCGAACCAAUCUUUAAUAAAAAUGAAGUGAAUACUAAAAAAACACUUUAAGUAUUUUCUAAAAAAAAACACCAAUUAUGUGUCAGCACUUGAAGUGCUUCAAAAACCUAAAAAUAUUUUUUCUAAAAACGUUUCAAUAAUUUUAAAAGUACUUUCAAAAGAGUCUGAAGUCUUUACCAUAAAGCAAAUGAUUUUGCCAUGACUCAAGAAGAAAAAGUAGAGAUAGAAAAGAACACCGACGGCUACAGGCUACAACACUAUGUUUUCGGUAGGUGAUGUGUCGAAAGUUUGGACCCGACUUCUCUGCCCUCUCACUUCCCAUGCACUCUCAUCCCCUCCUAUUAUGUGUGGUCACGGUUAAGCCACGUCAACAUUUUAUAUUGAUUUUUUUUAUAGAGAUAAUAAGACAAAAAUCAAUAGUAAUAUAAAAUGUUGACGUGGUUUAACCGUGACCACACAAAUAGAAGGGGAUGAAAGUGUAUGGGAAGUGGGAGGGUAGAGAAGCCAGGUCCCGAAAGUUUUGUUUUGCUGCCAACCUAGGAACUAGGGUUAGACCCUUGAUUUAGAGGUGGACAAACCGCCCUUGAUAUAGAGUGGAAUAUUCUCGACGCAAACACAGUGAAUAAUGUCUUCCUCUUUAACCCAAUAGGUCUUUAAUUUUAACUUUCAUUCCAUUAGUUUAGAUGAAUUAGUUUACGUUAUCCAAUCACUUGUAAAAGAAAAAAUAUUGGUCAAGUUAGGAUUAUGGUGCGCGAAUACGAGAGUGGAGGGUUCUGCAAUUCGUAAAAACUCAAAAUUUCUCAAUUUGAGAGCGGAAUGGAUUCAAAAAUUAAAAAAGUAUAAAACUAAUUAAAAAAUGUCCACUUCUUAUCUGUUAACAUGAGCAUUAUUAGCAACCCAACCCAAUUGAGUCUCCUAGUAUUUUUUGUUGAAAGGUACAAUUUAUUCAAUCAAUUAUAAUUGAUAAGUUUAUAUCCUCAGCAAGAAUGUUGAAAAGAAAAUCGGGACCUAUACAAUCUCAUAUAAAGGUUCCCCCUACAAAUUGAAUGAAAGUUGCCAUGUAUGGUCUCCUAGUUGACUGCCGUAUAAUUACCAUGUAUAGUCUCUUGUAUAUUACAUGUAUUUGCCUUCAUAACGGAUUAGAAUAAUACACAAAAAUUCUCAAAAUUUUGACAUGGUAACAGAGUGGGUUUUCAAAUCUGUUGUCAAAUUAUUGGGUUCACUUAUAAACAUUACCAAUGUAGCUCCACGUCUGACCCACUCCAAAGUGGUCCUACGUGAGGGGCGUGUUGAAUAAAGUAAAAGGUUUCACAUCGGCUAUCUUACCAAAAAAAUCACAACUUAUAUCAAAUGUUUCCACUUCUAAUUGUAUUGAGACCUUUUGCAUAGAAACAUCACACCUAUUGGUUGCACAGGUGAUUAAGUAAAGAUAGUAUCGAUGCUACUAGUAGUGUACCGUGACCAUCUCUCUGAAACUUUGACAUUAUCGUACCAUGCUUCAUAGGAUUGGUUUUUCAAUGGUUUAUAAGCUUCACAAUUGUCAAUUUGUUCUCUAAUCCCCUCCUCCCCGAGUCAAGGAGGUUCUUGUUCUUUGAAUGGAGAAGGCAUCCGCUUGAACAAAAGGAGAGGAAGGAUAAGCAUUGUUUGCAUGUCCAAUAUCCUUUCGGAGUAAUGACUUGAAGUGGACAUGCAUCAUCUUCAUCUACUUGUACCAAAACAAGCAAAAAAAACCCACAGAAAAUCACUCUCACAACACAACUCGAUGGAUGGACAAAGAAAGAGAGAGUGAGAGAGACCCAACUUGGUUUCCUUCCUUUUUAUGAUUUUCACCACCUUUGUGGUAACCCUACAUAGCUACUUGCAAUGUGGGGCUCGAUAUUGGAGUUUGAAAUAAGUUGUAAAUAGCAUAUAUAUGAGUAUGAAAUAAGUUGUAAACUCGGUCGAUAUCUAAGUUUGAAUUCUCAUAAGAAGGGGUGGGCAGAAAAACCGUUCAACCAAACCAACCACCAAACCAAACGGUAAAUAUCAAUUAAUGAUAAAAAGUACAUAUUUUAUGAACAUUUAAUUUGUUGGAAGCGUUCCAAUUGAACCUUCCCGACUUACGUUUAAAUCACAUGAUUAUGACUCAUAAGCGUAAUACCAUUUCAAUUUACCUAAGAAAUUCCGCACAAAACAAAUUAAAACGACUCAAAACCCACAUGAGCAUAUGAUACGACAAGACAUGAUUAACACAACUUUUCUCCUUUUUCAACGAGUACUAUGAAGUAUUCUAUAUUGCAAGUCAAUUUGUAAAUUCUGACUUUUGUUAAAUUCCAAGAUUAUUUUCCUCAUUCAAAUAUAACAUUGUAGUAAAUAUGAUUUCCAGUCCUUUCUAUUUCAUUGGUCCACCUUUCAUAGAAACCCAAAUAACUCUGAUAUUGACACAGAUAUGCUUUCUUUCUCUUCUUUCUGGAUUUUGGAGCUGAUUAUCUGGGAUUCUUGUUCGACUGCUAUUCUGAAGAGAAUCUCAACGCUGUAACUUAUAAUCAAUAAUGCGCGAAAAAAUUUUCUAUUCCAAAAGGGGACAAAUAUGAAAAUCACUGAAGGGACAAUAAGAACUCAUUCCCUCAAUCAAAUAUGCAAUCUCUUAUUUCCACUCUUGAGUCUCCACUUGGGAACAAGUGAUUCAGCGUGAAUGUUCUACGUUCUACUUUUACAUUGGUUUACGUGGGUUGAUCAUACCGAGCGAAAAGUCCCCGAUGUAAACAAAGAAUGCUAGAGCAGUUAAGGUGAUCAUUAAGACCGCCGUAGAGGAAGACGUAGGUUAGAAAUGUGAGGUAUGAGGUCUCCACCACCACACAAGUAAUCCUCGCUGCACAACUGGAAGUAGCAGAGGACGAUGGGAU